RNAcentral lists this ribosomal RNA (229 nucleotides) under uncultured bacterium. RNAcentral describes it as "partial 16S ribosomal RNA". It matches the Rfam family "Bacterial small subunit ribosomal RNA", at positions 524 to 750 of the family's 1533-position model. The record is from RNAcentral.
UACGUAGGGUGCGAGCGUUAAUCGGAAUUACUGGGCGUAAAGCGUGCGCAGGCGGUUGUGCAAGACAGAUGUGAAAUCCCCGGGCUUAACCUGGGAAUUGCAUUUGUGACUGCACGGCUAGAGUGUGUCAGAGGGAGGUAGAAUUCCACGUGUAGCAGUGAAAUGCGUAGAUAUGUGGAGGAAUACCGAUGGCGAAGGCAGCCUCCUGGGAGUAACACUGACGCUCGAU